UGAAAAUCAGAAAGAAGAAGAAAACGAAGAGCCUCGCCGUCUUGUUGAUCGCGAAGCCAACAUGGCGGCUCCUCUGGAGGUGGUAGUCAGCAGCGAUUCGGGCUCCCAGCUCUGGAACUGCACCGUGUUCGACCUCCACAGCGGCUCCAGCCUGCUCUCCUACCGGGGAGGCAACUCUGCGGCCCGGAGCCUCGCCGUCCUGCGGGGGGAGUUUCUGCUCAGCGCGCAGCUGGGGAAAAACUUCAUCAAUGUGUGGGAGAUCCAGAGGAAGGACCAGCUGCAGCAGAAGAUCGUCUGUCCAGGUGUGGUCACCUGUCUCACCGCCUCACCUGACGGGGCUUUCCUCGCCGCAGGAGUCGCCGAGGAGGUCUACCUGUGGGAGGUGUGCACAGGUAAGCUGCUGGCGGUGCUCAGUCGACACUAUCAGGACGUCACAUGUUUGAAGUUCACCGACGACAGCAGCCAUUUUGUUUCUGCGGGCAAAGACAACCUGGCGCUGGUGUGGAACGUGUGCAGUGUGGUCCAGAUGGAUUUAAGCCACGCCCCCGAACCACGCCAUGUCCUGUCCCGCCACUCUCUGCCAAUCACAGACCUGCACUGUGGUCACAUGGGAGCUCAGGCCAGAGUCGCCACGUCAUCGCUCGACCAGACCGCAAAGGUGUGGGAGCUCUCCUCAGGUGAGCUGCUGCUGUCCGUCCUCUUUGACGUGGAGAUCAUGUCGGUAACCUUUGACCCCUCAGAGUACUUCCUGUUCUGUGGAGGACGUGACGGGAACAUUUUUCAGGUGUCUCUCUGCAGCCAGAGUCUGAACCGGGAGAAGUCGUUCCAGUCGGACGGCGAGGGAAACCAGGUGUUCAAAGGCCACAGGAGCCUGGUCACCUGCCUCUCCGUGUCCAUGGACGGGACGCUGCUGCUGUCCGGGUCGCAGGACGAGACGGCCCGCCUCUGGGACGUCCAGAGCCGGCAGAGCGUCCGCUGCCUCGCACACAAAGGUCCUGUGACCAACGCCGUCAUCAUGGCCGUCUCAGCUAACAUGUUCCUGCCGGACAGUCGGCCCGCCGUCCCGCUGCCCCGCUUCAGCCGACACCUGCAGGCCCCCGAGGGCCCCGACGCCGAGGGGGGCGGGGCCUGGGUCCGCCCCGCCCUCCAUGCACAGCUCCCUCUGAGGCCUGGACUGUCCAGCUGAAAACCAAAACAUCACAGACAGCAAGUGAAAAAUGUAACCACAGAGUUGGAGUGUUGCUAGGUAACCACAGAGUUGGAGUGUUGCUAGGUAACCACAGAGUUGGAGUGUUGCUAGGUAACCACAGAGUUGGAGUGUUGCUAGGUAACCACAGAGUUGGAGUGUUGCUAGGUAACCACAGAGUUGGAGUGUUAGUUGAUGCUACCCAGCCUGUCUGUGUGAUCGACAUGUGUUGUUAUUGAUUGACUGUCCAGUCCUACUACUUCUGCACCUUCAACCAAUUUCAGCAGAUUAUUUAUCAAAACCUUCAGCUGCUUCUGGAGAAUUACACUAUGAGUAAUUUCUCUGAUACCUUUUGAAGAAAUGUGACUUUUACAUGAAUUGAAAUGCAUUUAGCAGAACCUUUGCUCUUUGACAGCUUCUUCCUACAUCAGCUCAGAAACUCCAUUCAACUUUUCAACAAGUCAUCUGCAGAUUUGAAUUCUCACAGAUAUUUUGCAAAGAAAAGCAAUUUUUCCUCAUUAAUAUUUACAUGUCAUUUUCUUAUGAGUCAUAUUCAGUUGAGUGGAGUUUAAGUUUAGUUUGUUGAUUGAACCUGCCAGCAAAUUUAGUUUUGCAUCCUUAAUUUGUAUUUAUUGAAUUUUCCACUGUGCGACAGUAAAGGACACUUCAUUAAAAAAAUAAGACUUUUAGUUUUUGAAACUAAUUUUCUUUGUCAUUUUUUUCUAUUUUUUCAAAAUAUGAUCUGAAAUAACCUCAUUUUGUUGUAGCUGAUUUUUUCAUCAUCUUCAAAAUUGGAUGGUCCAUUUUCUAACACCCUGUCCCUCAGUGGGGUCAGGAGGAGCUGCUGCCUCUCCAGCUAACGUUCUGGG
This is a non-coding RNA of Poecilia reticulata (guppy), 2055 nucleotides long. NCBI's taxonomy places the organism in Eukaryota, Metazoa, Chordata, Actinopteri, Cyprinodontiformes, Poeciliidae. The record is from RefSeq and is a predicted model, not a curated record.